AUUGAACGCUGGCGGCAGGCCUAACACAUGCAAGUCGAACGGGUGGCGGACGGGCGAGUAAGGUAUUGGCACCUGCCCGACGUAGGGGGAAAACUACUGUAAACGGUGGCUAAUACUGCAUACUAUCCGUUGGGCCCUGAUGGGUUUAGGUAGUUGGUGGGGUAACGGCUCACCUAGGCGACGAUCCCCAGCUGGUCUGAGAGGAUGACCAGCCACACGGGAACUGAGACACGGGCCAGACUCCUACGGGAGGCAGCAGUGGGGAAUAUUCGACAAUGGGCGAAAGCCUGAUGCAGCCACGCCGCGUGUGUGAAGAAGGUCUUCGGGUUGUAAAGCACUUUCAGUGGGGAGGCGGUACUCACACAAGAAGCAUCGGCUAACUCCGUGCCAGCAGCCGCGGUAAUUC
This 406-nucleotide ribosomal RNA is filed under the name uncultured bacterium. Its description in RNAcentral is "partial 16S ribosomal RNA". It matches the Rfam family "Bacterial small subunit ribosomal RNA", at positions 30 to 526 of the family's 1533-position model. The record is from RNAcentral.